GAGGGUGUAGCUCGGUGGUAGAGCGUGUGCUUAGCAUGCACAAGGUCCUGGGUUCAGUCCCCAGUGCCUCCG
Molecule: transfer RNA, 72 nt
Filed under: Camelus bactrianus (Bactrian camel)
Lineage: Eukaryota; Metazoa; Chordata; Mammalia; Artiodactyla; Camelidae
Also listed under: 2 other names
Rfam family: tRNA
About the family: Transfer RNA (tRNA) molecules are approximately 80 nucleotides in length. Their secondary structure includes four short double-helical elements and three loops (D, anti-codon, and T loops).
Source: Rfam by way of RNAcentral